Molecule: ribosomal RNA, 969 nt
Filed under: uncultured bacterium
Lineage: Bacteria
Description: bacterial SSU rRNA
Rfam family: Bacterial small subunit ribosomal RNA
Source: RNAcentral
GAUGAACGCUGGCGGCGUGUUUAAGGCAUGCAAGUCGAACGAUUCACUUCGGUGAAGAGUGGCAAACGGGAGAGUAACACAUUGGUUACCUACCUCGAGGUCGCGAAUAAUUCGGUGAAAACCGGACUAAUACGCGAUGGUCAUAAAAUGUUAUAAAACUUUUUAUGUAAAGUUCAGGCGCCUCGAGAGGGGCCUAUGUCCUAUCAGCUAGUUGGUGAGGUAAUAGCUCACCAAGGCUACGACGGGUACCGGGCGUGAGAGCGUGGCCCGGCUCACUGGGACUGAGACACUGCCCAGACUCCUACGGGAGGCUGCAGUCGAGAAUCUUCCACAAUGGGCGAAAGCCUGAUGGAGCGACGCCGCGUGCUAGAUGAAGCCCUUUUGGGUGUAAAUAGCUUUUAUAUAGGACGAAUUCGUGACGGUACUAUAUGAAUAAGAGGGUGCUAACUCUGUGCCAGCAGCAGCGGUAAUACAGAGCCCUCAAGCGUUAUCCGGAGUUACUGGGCGUAAAGCGUCCGCAGGUGGUUUUAUGCGUCACUCGUUAAAUCCUAAUGCUCAACAUUGGGGCUGCGAGUGAUACGAUAAGACUAGAGGCCGGGAGAGGUAAGCGGAAUUGCUGGUGUAGCGGUAAAAUGCGUUAAUAUCAGCAAGAACACCAAAUGCGAAGGCAGCUUACUGGAACGCGCCUGACACUCAUGGACGAAAGCGUGGGUAGCGAAUGGGAUUAGAUACCCCAGUAGUCCACGCCGUAAACGAUGGAUACUAGGUAUUGGGAGUUUCGACCCUCUCAGUGCCGUUGAACCAAGCUAACGCGUUAAGUAUCCCGCCUGGGGAGUACGGUCGCAAGACUAAAACUCAAAGGAAUAGACGGGGACCCGCACAAGUAGUGGAUCAUGUGGUUUAAUUCGACGAUAAGCGAUAACCUUACCUGGGUUUGACAUAUAGCUGCAAGGUCCUAAUCAGACCCGC